This 382-nucleotide ribosomal RNA is filed under the name Parempheriella sp. JSMC5. Its description in RNAcentral is "partial 16S ribosomal RNA". The record is from RNAcentral. Lineage: Eukaryota; Metazoa; Arthropoda; Insecta; Diptera; Mycetophilidae.
UCGAAGGUAGCAUAAUCAGUAGUUUUUUAAUUGAAAACUUGUAUGAAUGGUUCAAUGAGAUACUUUCUGUCUCAUAAAAAUUUUAAUAGAAAUUAAUUUUUUAGUAAAAAAGCUAAAAUGUAAUUAAAAGACGAGAAGACCCUAUAGAGUUUUAUAUAUUUAAAAUUAUAAUUUAUUUAUAAAAUUUAAAAUUUUAAUUUUUGAUAUAUUUUGUUGGGGUGACAGUAAAAUUUAAAAAUCUUUUAUUUAAUAUUAACAAUGAUUUUUGAUUAUUUGAUCCUUUUUUAGUGAUUAUAAGAUUAAAUUACCUUAGGGAUAACAGCGUAAUUUUUUUGAAGAGUUCUUAUCGAUAAAAAUUUUUGCGACCUCGAUGUUGGAUUAA